This is a long non-coding RNA of Bos taurus (domestic cattle), 1304 nucleotides long. The record is from Ensembl. NCBI's taxonomy places the organism in Eukaryota, Metazoa, Chordata, Mammalia, Artiodactyla, Bovidae.
CCCCCCAUCGCCAUGGGAACCGCGGCCGGCGGCGCCUGCGCGGAGGGCCCCGGGGCGGAGCUCAGCCCGCGGACUUGAGCUCUCGCUUGGCGCCGGGAUCGGGGGGACGGUCCGGCAGGUCAGAGGUCGCGAGUUUCCACCGAAACUCCUCCCGGAAGCGCUCCUGGCCCUAGAGCCCCGACCCUGCCUCGCCUGACUCAGAACAUUUGUACAUGAUGCCUGCUUGCGUUGCCGGGGUUAGACCCCGGCUUUGGCCGGGAGUCACCCACAACACACACCGCGAACCGCCGCCGGGUCUGCGCCCGAGAGCCUAGUGCAGCCUGGGAGCUCGGCAGAGCCUCGCCCAUUGAACCGUUUGGGCUACGGGCGCCCGGAGCGAGCCCGGUCUGUGCGAAGUGCUCGCGCCUCCUCGCGGCGAGCAGGGGACUCGCACCCGGGGCGGCUCAUUUCCUCUGGAGUACCUACAGUGCGUAUCAUCCCUGCGGCCUUAUGUUGAAGUGGGGGAUGAAGGGUAAAGGGUCUGAAGCUCAGAGAGGUUAAGUGAAUCAUUCAAAGUCACACAGCUAAGAUCGCAGCCUGGGUUCCCUAGAAAACAGAGCCUGAGGCAAGAUUAACAAACUAAUGCCUUAUUGGGGAUGUAAUCCCAGCCUAACAAGAGUGAAGGAAAAGGGACUGAGACUGAGAAGGAGGGAGGGCAAAUAUAAGACGUUCUUGACUGAAUUGGCCACAGCUUUUCAAGAAAAUGCGACCAGGAGUUCCACCACUCAGGGCAUCUCUGGGGGAAGCCACGUGAAAUGGGCAGGGAUGAGGGGCAAGAACUUCAUCUGCUGGCCUGUCCCGUUUCCCCUCUGCCAUUAGUGACCACUGGACCCAAUCACUGCUCGUGUCUGAGCUGUGUUACUGACGCCUCCAGGCAGCCAUGAGGAAAACCAUCUCUGCACCCAGAAGCUCACCUGAGUCUAGGAGAGGAGGCUCCAGAACCCUGGCCCCAAGCCCUGGCCUCAGCUCCGGCCAGGUCGGCUGGGACCACAGCUGGGGCUGUUGGCAGAACGACUCAGGCCUCAUCACCGCAGGCCGAGCUAGCCAAGUGGUUGCAGCAGUCUGACCCAGGCCGCCUGACCCAGGCCGAACUGCAGCAGUCUGACCCAGGCCGCCUGCGGGGGCAGGCGAGCAGAGGCUGGAUGGCGUCCAGGGCUGCUGGGUGGCCGGGAAGGACACAGCUAAGCACGCUUGAGAAGGUGCAACAAUCACACCUGACAGAAAUCAGACUGGGAUUCAGAUCCAGUUGAGACUAACCCCGAAGC